GGCUCCUUAUCCCAAUUGGUAGAGGACAGCGGCCUAGAACCGUUGUGUUGUCAGUUCGAGUCUGACAGGAGUCA
This 74-nucleotide transfer RNA is filed under the name Streptomyces lasalocidi. RNAcentral describes it as "tRNA-Leu". It matches the Rfam family "tRNA". From Rfam's summary of the family: Transfer RNA (tRNA) molecules are approximately 80 nucleotides in length. The record is from RNAcentral. Lineage: Bacteria; Bacillati; Actinomycetota; Actinomycetes; Kitasatosporales; Streptomycetaceae.